Molecule: non-coding RNA, 3191 nt
Organism: Nelumbo nucifera (sacred lotus)
Lineage: Eukaryota; Viridiplantae; Streptophyta; Magnoliopsida; Proteales; Nelumbonaceae
Source: RefSeq, a predicted model, not a curated record
CAUUAUCUUUCCAUCAAAAUUCAUACACAUGACACCAUGUGACUUAUAUUUAGUUUUUAAACCCAAGUUUACCCUUCACAUUUUCAUUCUUCUUCCCCUAGCAUUGAACCCCUUCAUCUCUGGCCUCUCUCUCUCCUUCUUCCCCUUCUGCAACUCAUCUCAAAUCUACAAGGAUGCAGCAGCAAAACCCAGGGGAUCUUCACGAACUAAAGCAUCAGGAGAUAAAAGAGGCGAGUGAGCGACUUGCCGUUAGCAAACCUAGAUCUGCAACUCCAUCUCCGCCUUUGAUGUCACGUUUGCCGUGUGCCUGUUGUCACCGUUUGGUUAUUGAGGGAGCAAGUAUAAGGUCCGAUUGAUUUCAGGUUUUGGUUCUCCGAGCACCUCUAUUAUCCAAUAAGUUCCAGCAUUUUCAAUCUGGUGGUGAUAGUGGAGGACAGGUUCGGACUUCUAGCCAAAGCAUUAACAACGGUUGUUAACAGUGGUGAAGACCAUUAACGAUGUGAUUAAUGAUUGAGGGGAAGUGGAGAGGGAGAACGAAGAGGGGAAGGGGGCAGAGGAAGAACACCAUCGCUUUUGUUGGAAGUUGCAGCGGCGGCGGUGAUUUUGGCAGAUCCAAACACAGAGCUGAAGGGGAUGGGGAAGAAGAAGAUCGCUGCCUUUGCCGAAAGUUGUAGUGGUGGCGGCAAUUUUGGCGUCAAAAAAUAGAAGGAAAAGAGAGAGCUUUGAAUGAAGGGAAAAGUUGCAGUGCCAAAAGUUGUUAUUCAAAUUGAACAAGAACUCUUAUUUCUCAGUCUUUCUCUCUCUCUACUUUGUUAUUUGAGAGCUUUGUUAUUCAAUUGCUUCCCAACCCAAUUUUUCCCUCUCCCACCAGCUUUUUCCCUCUUUGAGGGUGGAAUCUGAUCAUAGAUUGAGAGCUGAUUUGGGAUGAUUUCUUUGUGAGUGCAAUGAAACUCAUCUUUUUUUGAAUAAAGUUUGAAGAAAAAAAAAAGAAGAGAGAAAGAGAGAGAAGAUUGGGCAAAUCUUAGUGCUCGCUAAGAUUUGGGAAAAAUUGCAGACUGGAGCUCAAAUCGUAGAUCGGAGAGAGAGACUGGGAAAAAUCUCAGAUUGUUGUCAACUUUAACAGAAGAGUAAAACCACCACUCAUACCAAUCCAGAACCAGAGGUUAGAAUACAGUUCUUCACUCCACAGGUUUUGAUCACCAACGACAUCAGAAAGUUGAUGCAAAUUAUGAAUAGAAUUUGAAGGAAAGAAAAGAAAAGAGAGAGAAGAUUGGUUAAAUCUCAGUGCCCGUUGAGAUUUGGGAAAAAUUGCAGACUGGAGCUCAAUUUAAUGGAAGACGGAGUGGAAGAGACUAUGGAAGACAAGAAUCGACAUUAAAAAAUUUAAAGAAGAAUGAUGGACAAAAUAGUCUUUUUAAUCUUUCUGUUAAUGGACAUUGACGGUGCUUAGUCCUUGACAGAUGCUUCAAGUGUUCCACGCUCUUCGACAUUGUUAAGAUGUCCUCUUCGUCCUCUUCUCUUCUUGCUCUAGUAAUUCGUGGGGUCUCAUCCAGAGGCUAUUGUGCUCAUGGUCCACAAGAUCGAUGCCCAUGAGGCAGUGGUUGAGGGACAUGGAGACGAGGGUGCCGCGACAGAGGAGGCUGGGGUUCCCAGGAGGCUAAGGUCAGGGAAAUCGACAAGGUUGAUGUCAAUGUAGAGAUAGUGUCCAAUGAGAGACCUAGCACUUCUUCGCGGUUUGGCGACUGUUUUGCUUCUUCCCCAUAUAGCUUAACACCUCGGGACCUAGCUCGUAUUAGAGAGUUGUACUACAUUCCCGAAGAGUACAAGAUAAGGUGUCUCAGAGUAGGUAAAUGGGCAACUUUAGCUCGCCCUGGCGAGCUUUGUAUUUAUGAACAUAACCUGAUAGUCGGGAUGAGGUUUCCUUUGAACGUUGGGAUUGUAACUGUGUUGAGGUGGCACCACGUCCAAGCUUGUCCAACCCAUGCCAAAUUCCUUUAGGUACCUCGUCGGGCUCCUCCGCUAUUGCAUGAUCCAUGACGUGGACAUCACCCUGCCAAUGUUCACGUAUUUUCUACACCUGAAGAAGCACCAACAAGGCUACUACUACUCAACUUGGUAGAAUACCAAGGUGCUUGUGGAGGCCCCCUCUUCGGUGAAGCACUAAAAAGAGGGGUUCUUCUUCAUGCACCGCCAGGGGGGCAGGCCAUUCCCUACCGAGCUGUCAGUUCCAAAGAGUAAGGUGAAGGUGCCAACCGAGGCUGAGCUGUCCAAAGAGGAGUUGUGACCAUCCGACGGAUUGCGAGGGUGCAUGUACAAGAAUACACCUCGUCUGUUGUCUUCCUCGGCACUGACUAAUCGUUGUCUUUCAUUUGGCAGACAUUAUCAUGGCGGGUAGUGAAGAGGAAAGGGUGCGACAUAUGUAGGUCGUUGCGCUGUGAAAGGCGGCUGCAUAGUUGUCAGGGGCAGCUCAGCAGUGGCGACGCUUCGGCGAGACUACUCCUCGGAAAUUGAAGAGGCCGAGGCCURCGAAAGGUGACAUAGUGGAGGUCGGCUCAGAGGGGAGGCAUCUGCAAUGCGCACGACAACAAGUGUGCUGGAGAGUGUGACCAUCCGCAAACCCAUUAUGAUGGUCGAGGCAUGGGAGGUGGAGAACUCUCUAUUGAAUGCAGAGAUGGCCGAACUAAAGAAGGCCAUGGCGGGAAAUGACAACAACUUGUGGAAGGCAAAGGGCCGGGUGUGUGAGCUCAAGGAGGCCCGUGACAAGGUGCGAAAAGUGGCUGAUAAGGUCGAGGCAAAGCUAUUCCAUGUUGAGGAGGAGGCGAUCAUGAAGUAUAAGAAGUCUGAGGCAUUCCAAAUCUAGCUCGACAACUACGCUACUAACUCCUAGAAGAUCUGUUUUGCAUGGUGUAAAAGGAGUCUUGGACUUGUACCUCGAGGUGGUGGUCAUGGUGGAGAAGUUGGGCUCUUUUGACACCAAGGAGGGCACAAAGAGCAGGCCACACAACCAAAUCCCGUGAUUGUCUUCGAGGAGCAGACUUGUGCCGACGAUGUGGCUAAAGAGAGUUGAUGAUGGCAGUUGUCUACCCAUUCCUCUUUUUUUUUUUUUUUUUUCUUUUUACUUUGAUGUAUUUAGCUCGGUAUGCUGAGCUUUCCAACAUUGUAUUAGACUUGAAUGUUAAUGGAAAUUUCCC